ACCCGGAGGAACGGACCGGCGUCGCGCGGGAAGCCGACCCGGCUCCGCCGCGGACUGGGCAUGCUCGGCAGCCUGAAGCUCCAAGUCAGAAGCCUUCUAGCCAGCUCGGCAGCGGCCGGGGUAGUGGCGGCGGGCUGCCGGCUGGACCCGAGCUAGGAGAGCUGGUUGGGGCGGGCUGCUCGUCCCGGGAGCCUGGCACGCGGGCGGGAGAGCGGGAUCCGGUGCAGAGCCUCCACGCUGCCCUGCCCCGGAUUUCGUUCCGCGGCGGGGGGCUCGGCGCGUGGAAAGAAUUCCGGCGGCUGCCACGACUCCCGUGCAAGGUGAAGGCAGCAUGAACGGUGCCUGUGGACAGACUUAGCCAUUUGAUUUUAUUUAGAAGAUAGCCACGCACUUGGAAGGCAAAGCUUCAGUGGCUGAAGGGGCUGUGAUCUUUCAAGCAGGGUGCAGUUGGAGCAUAGCAGGGGCCUUAUAAGAGUCAGCGCAGACUGGAAGGAAGACUGAUGAAGAAAAGUAACAGCAUGAUUGAGGUGAUGGAAGUGUACUGGAAUGCUGGAAGAAGCUAGUGACUUACAGGAAACCAAGAUGACAAGAGUCUUUUUAAAAUAAUCUGUGAGUAAAUUUUUGCUAGCUCUUUGGAAUUCUUAUAAUGACUGGGUGACUCAUCUUCUAAGAAGUCAUGGUAAAAGGACAGUA
Molecule: long non-coding RNA, 693 nt
Organism: Acomys russatus (golden spiny mouse)
Lineage: Eukaryota; Metazoa; Chordata; Mammalia; Rodentia; Muridae
Exons: 5
Source: RefSeq, a predicted model, not a curated record